Long non-coding RNA from Wasmannia auropunctata (little fire ant), 475 nucleotides. RefSeq lists it as uncharacterized. The transcript is spliced from 2 exons. Lineage: Eukaryota; Metazoa; Arthropoda; Insecta; Hymenoptera; Formicidae. The record is from RefSeq and is a predicted model, not a curated record.
ACAGCAAUUUCAACAAGUAUACCUCGGAUCAAAUCACCUUUUUUAACGUUGUUUACGAUUACGCCAGCGUGAUGCAUUAUUCAGCGUACGCGUUUGCAAUAAAUCCCAACCAAAAAACCAUUAUUACAAAGAAUCCACCAAAUGAUGUAAUCGGUCAAAGAAUUGGCCUUAGCGACCCAGACGUUACAAAAAUUAAAAGAAUGUACGGAUGCAGAUAGUAUAAUCGUAAUUAGCAUUUAUUGUCAAAGAUCAUGUUAGUGAAAAAAAUGACUUUGAUAAUAGCUUUCUAUAAUGUAUUAAACAAAAUCCUAAAAGUGUUUAUCGGAAAUUUAUAUGUUACGAAGAAAUAAAAAAUAUUUAGCACUAUGCAUAAAACAUAUGCUAAUUGUAAAUCAUCUCUUCUACGUUGGCAAACGUAAUUUGUAUCAAUAAGUAUUAAUCUUGAUUAAAUAAAUGUACUUGUGUUUUUCGUGUU